AAAUUUAUUAUUAUUAUUAGUAUUUUUGAUAAGUUCACUAGUUGCCUAUAUCUGUUCAACUGCUUUUCCAUGUCAGUCUUAUUAUAUUACUGGGGAUGCAUCAGAGACCAAUGUGACCGAAAACGUUGCCCUCCCCUCUGAAUAGCGGUUCAGAACGCACAGUCCAGAAUGUCGUACGUUAGAGUACGAAAACAUAAAAAUGGACGAUCCAAAUUUUCUCUUUGAUAUGCUAACUUUACUUAAAUAGAAAGUUAGCUAGUGAUUUAUGGUAUUUAGUUACCUUAAAACUUUACAUCAUAAAUUUUAAAAUUUAAAUUAAAUUUUAAUUGGCUAAAAUUUUUGGAAAAAUAUUAAACAUUCAAUCGAUAUAAACUCCAUUAUAUUACUCAACAAAUUUCUGCUCUUAUAUAUAUAUAUUCUAACGAUCUGAAUAAGUAUAAUCUGCCGUACCAUGACUCCAAAUAGUAUUCCAAUUACACCUACCCCCGACGUACUCUAUAUCUAGAAAAGUACUGUAUUCCGUACCCAUACUCGUCCCAAGAACUAAAGCGAACUAUGAACUAGGUAAUUCUGUAUCAGACAAUAGAUGUCCCAACUGAUAGGCAAUGGAGUAGGACUUUCUGCAAGUCUGAAUUGUUUGUCAAACUUUUUUUUUUAUUCCUUGCCAUGCUGAUCUGAUUGGAUUUGGUGAUUAAGAGCUCUUUAAUGGCCGAUUUUAUUAGCAGCCAACAAGUAAUUAAUAUGAAGGCUUGCUGUGUGAUAGAAUUAGGCAGGACAGCUCACUACAACCUUAUUGCUUUUGCACUUCGUUUAUUACAAUUUCCCUUACUAAAUAAAAUUGCAUAUGCAGGUGAUUAUUCUUGCCAGAGAAU
This 872-nucleotide unclassified non-coding RNA is filed under the name Hevea brasiliensis (rubber tree). Lineage: Eukaryota; Viridiplantae; Streptophyta; Magnoliopsida; Malpighiales; Euphorbiaceae. The record is from RNAcentral.